This 114-nucleotide ribosomal RNA is filed under the name Microcaldota archaeon. Lineage: Archaea; Nanobdellati; Microcaldota. The record is from RNAcentral. RNAcentral also lists the same sequence under 1 other name.
GAUAGCGGCCAUAGGGCCUGGGAAACACCCGUUCCCAUCCCGAACACGGAAGUUAAGCCAGGCCACGAGGGGUUGUACUACCCUGAAGGGUGGGAAAACCCCUUGCUGCUAUCC